UACGGAGGGUGCAAGCGUUAUCCGGAUUCACUGGGUUUAAAGGGAGCGUAGGUGGGCUGGUAAGUCAGUGGUGAAAUCUCCGAGCUUAACUUGGAAACUGCCAUUGAUACUAUUAGUCUUGAAUAUUGUGGAGGUCAGCGGAAUAUGUCAUGUAGCGGUGAAAUGCUUAGAGAUGACAUAGAACACCAAUUGCGAAGGCAGCUGGCUACGCAUAUAUUGACACUGAGGCUCGAAAGCGUGGGGAUCAAACAGG
Molecule: ribosomal RNA, 253 nt
Filed under: uncultured bacterium
Lineage: Bacteria
Description: partial 16S ribosomal RNA
Rfam family: Bacterial small subunit ribosomal RNA
Source: RNAcentral